This 86-nucleotide transfer RNA is filed under the name Acidobacteriota bacterium. Its description in RNAcentral is "Acidobacteria bacterium tRNA-Leu". It matches the Rfam family "tRNA". From Rfam's summary of the family: Transfer RNA (tRNA) molecules are approximately 80 nucleotides in length. Their secondary structure includes four short double-helical elements and three loops (D, anti-codon, and T loops). RNAcentral also lists the same sequence under 4 other names. Lineage: Bacteria; Pseudomonadati; Acidobacteriota. The record is from RNAcentral.
GCGAAAGUGGCGGAAUUGGCAGACGCACCAGACUUAGGAUCUGGCGGGUAACCCCCGUGAGGGUUCGAGUCCCUCCUUUCGCACCA